This 253-nucleotide ribosomal RNA is filed under the name uncultured bacterium. RNAcentral's name for it is "partial 16S ribosomal RNA". It matches the Rfam family "Bacterial small subunit ribosomal RNA", at positions 524 to 776 of the family's 1533-position model. The record is from RNAcentral.
UACGAAGGGGGCGAGCGUUAUUCGGAAUCACUGGGCGUAAAGCGUGCGUAGGCUGUUCUGUAAGUUGGAAGUGAAAGCCCGGGGCUCAACCCCGGAAUUGCUUUCAAAACUACAGGACUCGAGUCCGGGAGAGGAUAGCGGAAUUUCCAGUGUAGUAGUGAAAUACGUAGAUAUUGGAAGGAACACCAGUGGCGCAAGCGGCUAUCUGGACCGGUACUGACGCUGAGGCACGAAAGCGUGGGGAUCAAACAGG